This 160-nucleotide ribosomal RNA is filed under the name Oudemansiella canarii. RNAcentral's name for it is "5.88S ribosomal RNA". It matches the Rfam family "5.8S ribosomal RNA". Rfam says of the family: 5.8S ribosomal RNA (5.8S rRNA) is a component of the large subunit of the eukaryotic ribosome. It is transcribed by RNA polymerase I as part of the 45S precursor that also contains 18S and 28S rRNA. Lineage: Eukaryota; Fungi; Basidiomycota; Agaricomycetes; Agaricales; Physalacriaceae. The record is from RNAcentral.
ACAACUUUCAACAACGGAUCUCUUGGCUCUCGCAUCGAUGAAGAACGCAGCGAAAUGCGAUAACUAAUGUGAAUUGCAGACUUCAGUGAAUCAUCGAGUCUUUGAACGCACCUUGCGCCCUUUGGUAUUCCGAAGGGCAUGCCUGUUUGAGUGUCAGUAA